AUUGAACGCUGGCGGCAUGCCUUACACAUGCAAGUCGAACGGUAACAGGUCUUCGGAUGCUGACGAGUGGCGAACGGGUGAGUAAUACAUCGGAACGUGCCUAGUAGUGGGGGAUAACUACUCGAAAGAGUGGCUAAUACCGCAUGAGAUCUACGGAUGAAAGCAGGGGAUCGCAAGACCUUGUGCUACUAGAGCGGCCGAUGGCAGAUUAGGUAGUUGGUGGGAUAAAAGCUUACCAAGCCGACGAUCUGUAGCUGGUCUGAGGGGACGAUCAGCUACACUGGGAAUGAGACACGGCCCAGACUCCUACGGGAGGCAGCAGUGGGGAAUUUUGGACAAUGGGCGAAAGCCUGAUCCAGCAAUGCCGCGUGCAGGAUGAAGGCCUUCGGGUUGUAAACUGCUUUUGUACGGAACGAAAAGCCCCGGGUUAAUACCCUGGGGUCAUGACGGUACCGUAAGAAUAAGCACCGGCUAACUACGUGCCAGCCGCCGCAGUAA
Molecule: ribosomal RNA, 498 nt
Filed under: uncultured bacterium
Lineage: Bacteria
Description: partial 16S ribosomal RNA
Rfam family: Bacterial small subunit ribosomal RNA
Source: RNAcentral